CUCAUCACGAUCACAAGGAGGGCACCGUGAUCGCAAAAGGUUAACGGUUCAAGUUGGAUCAAGUUUGCUUCGCAAACACAACAAGGCUGUCGCGGGAGCAAAGAUCCAAAUUUAUAGACCUUCACAAAUACGAAACCUUCACAACGAAUGUGAAGGCCAACCAGGGGCGGAUCUACCCUUUGCCGAGGGGGUUCGUCUGAACCUCCUUCGACAAAAAAUUAUGCUAUAUAUACAUUAUUAAAAUUAUUUUUUAUGUAUAUAUAUUAGAUGUUGAACCCCCUUCAGUUAGUUCGUAUGUUCACUUAUGAACCUCCUUCGUGAAUAUUGUGGCUCCGCCACUGAGACCAACAAUUUGUAUAGGCAAACUUUGACCCUUUCGAUCACGAGGUGGGGUCUGCAAUUGCAAGGCAUUGUUCACUAUACAAUAAAUAAGGUCCAUUUUCACCUUUUCCUCUAUUUUUGGACCUUUGAGCUUUGGGAUUUGGCAUAGAGUCCAACUUUGGAGGAAAUUGUUGGCUUCAGGGGAAAGGGAUCGAGUCUUUGCAAUGCUGAGCUUCAUAACAAAAAGCCUAUAAUCCAUAAUAAGGUUGCUGGCAACAAGUUCGUGGAUCUAGUUAAAGUCAAUCAAAAGGAAAAAGUGUUUGAAUAAUAGGUGGAUUUCUCUGAAUUUUUUUUUAUAAGAGGUAUGGUAAGAAGGAUGGGUUUAAAAAGUACCUAAAGGCAACUCAGCAAUCAAGGGACGCAGAAGCAUGGAAAUAAACUGGGUGCUUUUUCUUUAUGGUUGCAUUUUUGGGGCUCAUUAUAUUUUCAGAACUGGACAAACACAUUGACAUUCAUCUAGCUGGGGUAGUGAACGGGUUGGUUAAAAUGGAAAUCCUACCAUUGUUCCUACGAUUAUUGCAGAUAUGUUUCGUACAUUGACCAAGUGCAAAGAAGGGACUACUUUUAAGGAUUCAAUAUCUUGUUGCAAAUAUGGUUCUUGGAACAUCUCUAUCACCAUGAUCGUGCACCGAGAUUCUCUCCUGACUAGUCCAAUUAUGUAUCCACUUACAAGGAUAGGGUCGCAAAAAUAUAUUUUCCACAGAUCCUGGCAUGUAAAGAAAAGCUCUUAGUGUUGACUUUUGAUGAAAUCUUUUGAAACUAUCAUAGGUUCCUAGCAAAGAAGUCACUUGCACGUCCUACGAUAUUUUAUUUCUUAUUUUGAUUCGACAUAGUGGUGUCUAAUAGUAUGCCUCACUUCGGGUGAAGUGCCAGUUGGCUCAACUCCAAAAAGUCCCUCCAAAUAAAGACAUGAGAAGAUUUAUGUUUGACACUCCCCCAUGUUUUUUCUUUGACACCGGUGAUAUUAUGAAUAUCUAGUAUGGAAGUAUAAUUUCUAAGAAAUGAGAAAUAGUGGUUGAGCAGGAUAGAGGAAAGGUGGUCCCCACGUACCUAUCAUGGUUUUUUUAACCCAGUUAUAUUCAGUGACUUCUAUGAAGGAUCUAGUAAGAAAAGGAAGGACCAACAUACCAUAAGACAACGAAAAGAAAAGUUAAGAGUAGGCCAGAGAAACUAUAUCGCAACAACAAUCUAGGUUCAUUUGGGAAAGGAUUAUCAUUCGACUUUGUAAGAGUUGGAAAGAGAGUUGAGGUACGCCGAGGAAAAGUUAAUUUGAUUGGAGGAGGAACUAGAGGAAGGAUCAAUUUAGCUUGACAGAUUAAAAGGGAACAAAGUGCUGAUAUACUUUGAUUAAUGAAGGACUUGCUCGCCUCCAACAAUAUUAUUCACUGCCAACUAGUUGAUUUCAAGUAGCAGAAUGAACAAUUUGAGAAUGAGAGGGCCUAUUGGGUGUGCACUCACAGUGACCACUUCAAGAACAUCUAGAGGAGCAUUGGAAGAAAAGAAGUCAGUAUGCAAGUAUUGAGGCAGAGAAGAGAUAGAGGACCAUUGAAAGAGAAACACUUCAUAAUUGUCUUGAGGAAUUGGAGGAGCUCUAGGACAUCUUAAUGAACAACUUUCACAACAAUUAGGCCUGGUUGAACAAUCGUCAUAAAAUAUGGAUGGGCUAGACUCCAUGUGUAUCAAUUUGCGAAAACUACAUCAUAUAUCAUCUACGAUCAUCAUCGUUUAGAUGAUAUGAGAGUCGCUAAGCAGGAUCAUGCCAUCGACCCUCUUUUUCCAAAGGCAUUUGUGAGAUUUUAUGAGACCUUUGGAGGAAAACGAAAUCCUCAAGAAGAUCUAUCAAGAAAGUAGAUUUGAAGUCCAAUGCAACAUUCUUUUUGCUUUAUUUUGUCUUGUUGUUUAAGAAGUCAAUAUUUCUAGAUUUAUUCUGUUGUUUUGUCUAAGAUUCCUUGUUAUCCUAGUCUUAUUUAAGUUUUUUAUCUUGCCUCGUGUGUUUAUGUAUUUUCCCUAUUUAGAGUCUGUUUUAGAAAUUGAAAUGAAUGA
RNAcentral lists this long non-coding RNA (2424 nucleotides) under Capsicum annuum. Its description in RNAcentral is "long non-coding RNA (CANN_LNC017356)". Lineage: Eukaryota; Viridiplantae; Streptophyta; Magnoliopsida; Solanales; Solanaceae. The record is from RNAcentral.